RNAcentral lists this long non-coding RNA (2991 nucleotides) under Salmo salar (Atlantic salmon). Its description in RNAcentral is "lncRNA (ENSSSAG00000099099.1)". The record is from RNAcentral. Lineage: Eukaryota; Metazoa; Chordata; Actinopteri; Salmoniformes; Salmonidae.
CCGUGCUCGAUUGUUCUUCCUGGUUACAUCAUUUGUUGUGGCAGUCUCCUUGGUCGCAGGUCUAAAUGCAUUUCUAAUAUCCCGCAAUGAACUUUGAUCUGCCGCAGAGCCCGGCGACAGUCACAGAGAUAUCUCCUAUCUCCCUCCACGGGUUCGCUCUCGUCCCGGUGACCAGCUUGGGGGCGGGGGGUGAACCGGGGAGCCUCGACAUUGCACCUGGCUCCGGAGUGAUACAGGUGUUGUGCCGAAAAUCUCCCCCCCUGACAGAAUUCGCCCCCCCCCCCCUUUCUAAUUUCCUUAAUUUUGUGACUAGAGUCAAAUACCUUCUGUUGCACACAUCAGAGUCAAACACUUUAUAUAGAACAAACCGAAAUUAAUUAUUAAUGUAUCUGUGUUAUUAAACAUAGAGGGAGUAAAAUGUUGGCAAGCAAAAAACAUUUCAGAACAACUAUGGCUGAAUUAUUAUCCUUACACUUUCAAAAAUACUAGUCGAAUAAGACAUGGGAGAGAUGAUGAAUUUUGGCAAAGAGAUUAAUUUAUAGACUAAUACAAAUCAGUAGCGGAUUUAGGUACGGGCGACAUGGACAACCGUCCAUAGCCAAACCGAAAACUGCAGACAAAAAUGGUUUCUGCUACUAAGAUCAGUGAAAUGUAGGCUAAACUGACAACGGAGUGAAAAGCAGAAAUCUCAACUAGCAAGCAAGUCGCAGCAAUGAAGAACGAGAAGGGCAGGGGGGAGAUUGUCGGCACAACACCGGCCGAGGAUGGGACAACACCACCUGUCGCCUUCAUUGCUGGGAAUUGUAUGCGUCCCCACAGAAUCUGACCCUCAUGGUACCAGUGUGUCCUACCUGGGUCAGUUGACCUCAGAGGCAAGACCUGAACUGCAGUCAGAUGCCCCUCCACAGCCCCUCCUGCUCCAAGACAACAUGUCAUCCCUCCAUACCAGUAUGGAGCUCCUCAAGGGGGAACCCCACAGCCCUGCCACCCAGCCCCUGUCUCCCCUCCCUCCCCUGGGCCUGAUGGUGUCCCUGGACCCCUGUCUGCUGCUGGAGGAGGACCAGGAACCACUGGAGUUUCAUACUCAGAUUGAACCAAAGAAACGGAAAAGGUGGCUGGCCGAAGAAGAGGAAACCUCAGAGAGAGUUAACAACACCCAUAGCUCCAACAACAGGGAAUGUUAUUUUUGUGAAUGAGAAGAGAAGCUGCAGCUGAGAGAGGAGCACCUGGACCUCCCUUUCACUGAGAUCAGCCACAUGCUGGGGCUGCAGUGGUCCCAACUGGGCCCCAACGACAAGCAGAAGUACAACCAAGAGGCAGAGAAGGACAAGCAGCACUACAUCACAGGGCUGACAGACUACCAGAACACUGAGGCAUACAAAGACUUCCUCCGGAGGAAAGCCCUGAGCAGAGGACCAAAGCUCUAUGUUGACCCCAGGGAGUUGACAUUGAGAUGGAGGAGGAGACCAUGGCUUUGAAUCCCAUAGAUAGGAGUUUGAGAAGGACACAGGCAGCCAACAGCAGGCUCCAGAGAUGGAGAGAGGCCCUGUGGAGGAGGAAGAGGAGGAGGAUGAUGAAGAGGAGGCAGAGUUGGCUCGUACGUUGGGUCUGUCCUCGCUGGACUUCAGUGUGCUGCAGGAGCUGCUGCUCAGACAUAUGAAGCGAGCGCAAAAAGUGUGGAGUCUGAGAUGCAGGUUCUCAGGGCCUCCAGGGAGAGCCUGGACUGUCAGCUCCACACCCUCACCAUGCAACCACUGCUGUUCCACACAGACAGAGGUAACAGGCUUCUGCAGAAACAGGCUCUGCCCAUCGCUGCCCUGACGAAUUGAUGAGCAGAGCCGCACAGGAAGAAGGGAACCUCGGGUAACCAUAGCAACCAGCCAGGGGUCGUGUGAGAACGGCUCUGGGAGAAGAGGUGGAUGAUGAAGAUGAGGAUAAAGGAUGCAGCCCGGGAGAAAGAAUGGAGGCACUUCAAACAAGGACCGCAAGGGGCGGACCGCAAGGGGCGGACCGCAAGGGGCUGACCGCAAGGGGCUAGUCACCUACAGCUGGCAGCUGUACACGUCUGUUUUUGUUCUGUUUGUGGAUUUGAGUGUUCCUUUGGUUUUGGGGUGGUUUUAUUUGUUUUGAGCGAUAAGUCAGUUCUCACAGCUUUAAGUCUUUUGUAAACUGUUGCAAUGCUAAUGCACACAUACACUACCUAUGUUUGUUGCUAGUGAGUAUGUGCGCAGUAGAAUGUUGCUUAGUUAGCAGCUUUGGUAUAGGACACUGCAUUACAACACCGGGGCAGUGUGUAUGUAUAGUCUAUGUAGCAGCAUGUACAGGCUUUGUUAAAUGUUUUCUUAACAUUGUAAUGAACACACUAGAAUGUUUACUUUCCAACCACUGAAACAAAUAUACCCAUUCCAUUUCCUAUCCUGAGCCCACGUGUUGUUCCCUGCACUGGCCACACAGUAGCUUUUUAUCUUGAUUCUGAUCUAGAUAUUCUAGCUCUGUGUUUUUGUUCUCAUACACUGUUAACUUCACAGACGGCGAUCUGUUUACAUUCCGUUAGGUCUUUGAAUGGACAGGGACAUUCCGUUAGGUCUUUGAAUGGACAGGGACAUUCCGUUAGGUCUUUCAAUGGACAGGGACAUUCCGUUAGGUCUUUCAAUGGACAGGGACAUUCCGUUAGGUCUUUCAAUGGACAGGGACAUUCCGUUAGGUCUUUGAAUGGACAGGGACACUCCGUUAGGUCUUUGAAUGGACAGGGACAAAUCAAUAAAUGCUACACCAAGCUCUUUCUCCACCAACAUGUACUCUGUGCAGUCUGUGGUCUGCUCUGUUUGUGCUUUUGGCUGUUGUUUUGGGUAACUAUGUGGGACACCAGAAUCAAACCCAUCUACUCUACCUAUUAGAGUGUAAGUCAUGCCUACGAAGCCUAGUCACUUACAGUUGAAGUGGGAAGUUUACAUACACCUUAGCCAAAUACAUUUAAAGUCAAUUUUUCAC